This is a long non-coding RNA of Drosophila virilis, 1342 nucleotides long. RefSeq lists it as uncharacterized. Lineage: Eukaryota; Metazoa; Arthropoda; Insecta; Diptera; Drosophilidae. The record is from RefSeq and is a predicted model, not a curated record.
CUAUCAUACAAUAAUUUAAUUUCGACCGAUCGUUUCUAUGACAGAUAUAAUACACGGUAUAUAGCUCCGAUGUUAGGAUUUUAUCAGGUUGGGAUUAUACCUAAACUUAUUGGAACCCAAUUUUGUCAAGAAAUAAUCGAAAACGUUUUCGGAUCGUUCAUUCCUAUAGGAGCUAUGUACAGUUUCCUACAUAUAUAAUGCUUCCAGUAGUUUACAUAAAAACGGACAGACGCUUUACAAUUGAUACUGAUCAAGAAUACAAGUACUUUAUGGGGUCGAAAAUGUCUUCUAUGCUACACAUUUCGAAAUGUUAUAAUUUGAAUAAUAUUUCAGAUUUUGAUUCCAGUUUUCUCCGUUUCAACCCAUAGGGCUACUAUAAAUAUUUCAACGGCCUAGCCCUUACCAAUAAGUCAGUCAAUAAAUAAUUCUGACAAACUCGUUUGGCUAUAGAUAAUUAAUAAAGGCUUCACCCGUAAAUCCCAUUAUAAAUAAUUUCAUACCUGUAUUGCAGGACCUGCACCUGGGUGAGAAUUCGCUUUAGACCAUUGGUGUUUAUCGCAGCUGUGGGACAAUCGAUUGCGCUGCAGCAAUUGGUUUUGACCGGCAAUAACUCCAUGAUAAUCAAAACCGAAUGCUGGGUAAGCUCCAAUUGCUGGACAUAUAUUUCACAAUAGCAUCGCUAGCCUGAGUGCUGGACACUUUGGGGGACGCUACGCAAGCUGUAUUUGCAGUCGAGAUCAAGCCAGACAGCUUUGCAGCUUGAGUAUCUGGACACACUGAACUUGUCGCACAGCAACCUCGAGUCUCUGGACGAGGAAGGCAUAUGGCAGCAGGGCAAUGUCGCGCCUGCGCAAACUCAAUCUGAGCGCCAACAGUCUGAAGCGUCUGCAUGCGCUGGCCUUCUCCUCGCUGCUCUAUUGUGGAAUACCUGUCGCUGGGCGAUCCAUCCACUGUGCUGGAGAGCCUGAGCAGCAUCGUGGAGUUACUCAUUAACAACAAGCUAACCUUCCUGCCGAAUCUAAAUGGUACGCUUGCCAACUUAAAGCAUGUGGCCAAUCCCUGAGGGCAAUCCCUGGCAGUGCGCCUGUUUCACGCAGCUGGAGCGUUGGCCAGGCUAAUCACGUUACCAACAAGGCCACUGGCUUCUACAGUGGCGAGAGGCCGCUGUACGUGGUCACAUUUGUCGAAUACUGUGUGCAGACACUGCCGAAAGAUCGACACCAAGAUGUUGUGAAUGAGUUCGAGGAGCAACUACUAUCAUGACGGUCCUUAGAUGGUAGCUCAGAUGAAGACUGAUUAAUGUGAUGAAUAAGUGUGGGAUGAAUAAAUGCAUUUUUGAUGA